GACGAGAAAACUACUCCAGCCGCCGCCGCCGCCGCCGCCACCGCCGCCGCCAUGUUCUCCGAUCUCGCAGCCCCUCUCGUCGUCGGCUUUCCACCUUGAUUCCUUUCGGCACGGAUCGAACUCCACUACAAAUCUCUGACUCUCCCGCGACCUCGAUUGCGUCUUCUUCGACCUGGACUCCCUGCACCCCUCCCCGCAACAUGGUCUUGCCGCCCUCGGCCUCGCCAUUAUCUGAUGCAGGUGAGUGACACCCACCUCCAUCUCCCCCUCCCCUGCCUCUAAAUGCCACCGAGUAGAAACUACUCUCUUCCCCUCUUGUGUCAUCCUCUCUUACCCUCCCUGCACAAGAUCUAAUCAUGAAUUGCCUCUUUCAAGUCAUCUUGGAGCUGUAGAUAAGUUAGGGUAGCAAUCACUUCGAGGCUCAGGUUACUCAUCGGUAUGUCAUUUUUGUCAUGCUUGUGUGCUUGUGUUGUAUUUUCUUUUGUUGUCCCCAACUUGCAGUGUUCUUCUCUGUUUAGUUUCUCUUUUCUAAGCUUAUUACUAGAACUACUAUUGGGAUGAUAUAGUCGACCUUCUCCUCGCUUAAGAAAUAAGCAUAGUAGCACAUGUUGCUAUUGACUUGUAGGUAGUUGUGUGUUUGUCUGAUGGGCACCAUGUCCACGAGGAAAGUAGUUUACUACUAGAUAGAGUAGGAUUUUCUCAUAUGUCUUCGUGUGAUGGCACCUGUGUCCAGAUUGUCCACGAAGAAAGUAGGUUACCUCUAUGCAGAGUAGCUAGGAUUUUUUAAUAUAUGCUUACCGCUGAAAGUAGAGUAUUUGCCUACCUUCUCUUUUAGUUUGAGAUAUUCCAGACCAUUAAGACGAGUACUAAAACCUUCGUAUUGUCACAACUAUCCACACAUACAAAUCUAUGUUCGCAAGAAUCUGAAGUGCGUCGUAGAUUCAACUCCCAAAUCAAAAGAAAGAAAGAAAUAACUAAUGAGAUGCGUAUUUUUAUAUUCCUGGUACUCACAAUGCUGAGAGGCUUAAAUUCCUCCAAAUCAUACAGUUAACUAAAUAAUACAAGAAAGGGAUCAUGUUCUUUUAAAAAUCUAAUGAUUACAUUUUGCCUUAUUUCCAUUCUGUCCUCUUAAAUUGGCAUAACUUCAUGGUUGGUUGAACAACAAGACAACAUCUUGACAACCAAAAUUAUUCUCCAAGGCAAUUUUUCUCCUGGUACGAGAAUCACCACUAUUCUUUUCUUUUGUUAUUUGAUGUUAGAAUGGCUUGGUUAUUAGUUCUAACAAUUCAACUGGUAAACAGAUCAUGCUUCAUAAUUAAUAUUUCAGAUAGUCAAAUGGAACUUGAUGCAAUGACGUGACUUGCCAAGUUUUUGUUAAAUUAUAAAAAACAAACUAGAGAAAAUGAUUCUAUGUCUACUGUAAGGGUAGUUCCACACAAACUUAUGGAUCUUUUUUCUUCUUCUUGCUUGACAGUCGAACCACAUUUUGAUGAUAAAACUUAACCUUUCUUAUGCUAAUGAUGCUGCGUCUAAUUUAAAGGGAGUCUGUCGGAAGCUUUGGCUAUUUUUUUGUUCUUGCUUGACACUAGGAUCUACUACCUCUGUCCCUAAAUAUAAGUUGCUUUUGCAGUUCAAACUACAAGUCUUAUUUGUGGGGACAGAGGGGUACAUUUCAUGAUAAAUCUUCUCAAUUCUUAUGCUAUAUUCAGUUUUUUCUUGUUUUGACUAUUUACUGUAGAGCAACAACCCCACAGUCCUUUUUAUUCCAGAAAUUUUUGCCCAGGCCUAUUUAAAUCCGCUCCCACCGGGAGUCGAACCCAGGACCUCGGGUGCUACUAAGGUCGCCGCAACCACUAGGCUACAGGCCCGUUCACCUAUAUUCAGGUUAUUGCAGCGCAAAGGAAAAUAUUAUGGGCUUAAUAGAGAAAGUAUCAAAUACCUUGGCACUUCUUAACAAUAGGACAAUUACUUUUAAUAAACUAAGGUUGAUCCACCAAUGUUUUGUACCAAAAUUAUUGAAUUAAAAAUAGGAUAAGUGAUGUAGCAGUUAUGUUAGUCUAUUAUCCUUGAUGUUUAAUCUUUUCUUUCUUUCUCAUGUCUUUGCAUGCUUACCAUGUUUUUUUGCAGAAGUACAUAACAGGUGGUGAAUUGGAAGGAACUCCAAGUAAUUAUUAUAUGUGUGAUUACUAAGACAACAAUCAAACCAAAUAACUUUUGAAGUGGAUUCAGAUCAUGUGGUAAACUUCAGCAAAUGGCUAAUAGCCCCAUUGCCUUAUGCUAGACAUAAACACUAUAAUGCAUUAUUGUCGUAUGGAAGAUAUAUAAUAUUGACAUGAUGUUGCAAGGUAUCAACAACCAUCUUCUUAUAUCCCCAUUAUCCAUUUCUUACCUACUAAACCAGUUCAUAUUGGGUAGUAAUUUUGUAAUAAAAAAACUUAUUUUGCACACUAGAAACAUCUACUAAUGAAGUAUUUGUAGGUAAUUUAUAUAUGAAAUUCCUAAAUAUGGUACGAGUACACAUUUGGGACAUAAACAUGAUAUAACCUCACAGGGAGGAUCAAACUUGUUUACUACCAUUUCAUUUGCAGGUGCAUAAAAGGUAUUCCAGUAAUUAGUUAUGGGUGCCUCGUGUAUAUAGCAAACAUGAAGUAUCUAUAAUGACAGUGAAUGGAUGGAGACGAAGUUCAAUACAAUUAGUUGAAAGGAUAAAGACAAGGGCUUCACUCCUAUGAUGAUCAUUGUGGUAUAGUUAUAAUGCUUUUAUGCAAUACUUUUCUUUUGUGUUUUGUCUGAGUUACUUGAAAACCUUCAACUUGAUGUUGUGAUCUUUCUUGACCAAGUAUAACAAGAGAGAUUUGUAGAAUAUGGGCGUGUUCUUCAAAUAAGCAUAUUCUUAAACUGAACCAAAUGAUGUACCCUUGGUUGCAGAGUUAUGGCGAUUCAGUUAUGCAGUGGAUUGUUGCCAAAAUAUUGAAAAUUUAACGCAUCUUUGUUUAUUAUUGAAGUUCACUGGAUUUCUUUGGGGUAGUUCAUCAAAAAUAUUGUCACCAUGUGUUGUGAAGGUGAUAUAAAUAACAUUUAUAUGAGUGGACCCAUUCUAAGUUUCAAUAUAGAUGCACCAUCUAUAUUGAGUGAGUGUAUGUAAAAUUACAAAAUAUUGAAUGCUUGUACUGUUCUUAUUUUCUAAACAUUUCAACGUUCUUUUCUCAAUAUGGAUGCACACGACAACAAGCAUAUUUUAUUUGUGAGACCAUGAAAAUUU
RNAcentral lists this long non-coding RNA (3262 nucleotides) under Triticum aestivum (bread wheat). RNAcentral's name for it is "long non-coding RNA (TAES_LNC011326)". The record is from RNAcentral. Lineage: Eukaryota; Viridiplantae; Streptophyta; Magnoliopsida; Poales; Poaceae.